This 265-nucleotide ribosomal RNA is filed under the name uncultured archaeon. Its description in RNAcentral is "partial 16S ribosomal RNA". It matches the Rfam family "Archaeal small subunit ribosomal RNA", at positions 717 to 982 of the family's 1478-position model. The record is from RNAcentral.
AGACGUCUACAUUAGAUACCCGCGUAGUCCAGGGUGUAAACGCUGCAGACUUGGUGUUGGGAACCCUUCGGGGGUGUCCAGUGCCGGAGAGAAGUUGUUAAGUCUGCUACUUGGGGAGUACGUCCGCAAGGAUGAAACUUAAAGGAAUUGGCGGGGGAGCACCGCAACGGGAGGAGCGUGCGGUUUAAUUGGAUUCAACACCGUAAAACUCACCAGGGAAGACUGUUACAUGAAGGCCGAGAUGAAGACUCUGCUAGAUUUUCAG